RNAcentral lists this unclassified non-coding RNA (429 nucleotides) under soil metagenome. RNAcentral describes it as "partial contains 5.8S ribosomal RNA, internal transcribed spacer 2, and large subunit ribosomal RNA". The stretch from base 1 to 120 matches the Rfam family "5.8S ribosomal RNA", at positions 35 to 154 of the family's 154-position model. The record is from RNAcentral.
GAUGAAGAACGCAGCGAAAUGCGAUACGUAAUGUGAAUUGCAGAAUUCAGUGAAUCAUCGAAUCUUUGAACGCAUAUUGCGCUCUUUGGUAUUCCGAAGAGCAUGCUUGUUUGAGUAUCAGUAAACACCUCAAAGACUUCAAUUUGUUUUGAAUGGCUUUGGACUUGAGCAAUCCCAACACCAGUCUUUACGAUCGGUGGAGGGUUGCUUGAAAUGCAGGUGCAGCUGGACAUUCUCCUGAGCUAAAAGCAUAUUUAUUUAGUCCCAUCAAACGGAUUAUUACUUUUGCUGCAGCUAACAUAAAGGGAGUUUGACCGUAUUGGCUGACUGAUGCAGGAUUUCACAAGGGUCGGCAACGAUUCUUGUAAAACUCGAUCUCAAAUCAAGUAAGACUACCCGCUGAACUUAAGCAUAUCAAUAAGCGGAGGA